CUUUCAUUCUUUUUGUAUGAACAUACCAAGAAUCCGGGGGCGAUUGGACAGGAUCCUUAAGAGAAAUUUCUCAAUUCUGCAUCUCUGGUUCCUUUCAUUUGCAAAUCAGAGCAUUUCAUGGUUGAAACCAUCGUUGUCAUCCUAUCACCGUCGGAGUUGAUCCCUAUCAAAUCGAAGUUGCACAUUCCUUCUUUCCCAGUUUCACAGGACCGAGUUCCGACAAUAUUGUGACAACACUCUGCAGGAUGAUGAUGACAACUUCAAAGGUGGUUCAAUGGCAGCACUCUAACAAUCAAUUGCGGCUACAUCCCAACUGUCU
This is a long non-coding RNA of Vicia villosa (hairy vetch), 319 nucleotides long. RefSeq lists it as uncharacterized. The transcript is spliced from 3 exons. The record is from RefSeq and is a predicted model, not a curated record. NCBI's taxonomy places the organism in Eukaryota, Viridiplantae, Streptophyta, Magnoliopsida, Fabales, Fabaceae.